Molecule: ribosomal RNA, 449 nt
Filed under: uncultured bacterium
Lineage: Bacteria
Description: partial 16S ribosomal RNA
Rfam family: Bacterial small subunit ribosomal RNA
Source: RNAcentral
GUCGAGAAUCUUUCACAAUGGGGGCAACCCUGAUGGAGCGACGCCGCGUGGAGGAUAAGGUCUUCGGAUUGUAAACUCCUGUCAUGCGUGAACAAGGUUGCUUGGUUAAUACCUGGGCAAAUUGAUGGUAACGCAAGAGGAAGAGACGGCUAACUCUGUGCCAGCAGCCGCGGUAAUACAGAGGUCUCAAGCGUUGUUCGGAAUCACUGGGCGUAAAGGGUGCGUAGGUGGCGUGGUAAGUCAGAUGUGAAAGCCCGGGGCUCAACCUCGGAACUGCAUCCGAUACUGUCAUGCUAGAGUACUGGAGAGGUGACUAGAAUUCUCGGUGUAGCAGUGAAAUGCGUAGAUAUCGAGAGGAAUACCAAAGGCGUAGGCAGGUCACUGGACAGUUACUGACACUGAGGCACGAAGGCCAGGGGAGCGAACGGGAUUAGAAACCCCUGUAGUCC